Molecule: ribosomal RNA, 253 nt
Filed under: uncultured bacterium
Lineage: Bacteria
Description: partial 16S ribosomal RNA
Rfam family: Bacterial small subunit ribosomal RNA
Source: RNAcentral
UACGAGGGGGGCGAGCGUUGUUCGGAAUUAUUGGGCGUAAAGGGUGCGUAGGCGGUUUGGUAAGUCUCUUGUGAAAUCUAUGGGCUCAACUCAUAGUCUGCAAGGGAAACUGCCGGGCUUGAGUGUGGGAGAGGUGAGUGGAAUUUCCGGUGUAGCGGUGAAAUGCGUAGAUAUCGGAAGGAACACCUGUGGCGAAAGCGGCUCACUGGACCACAACUGACGCUAAUGCACGAAAGCUAGGGGAGCAAACAGG